This 498-nucleotide ribosomal RNA is filed under the name uncultured bacterium. RNAcentral describes it as "bacterial SSU rRNA". It matches the Rfam family "Bacterial small subunit ribosomal RNA", at positions 28 to 479 of the family's 1533-position model. The record is from RNAcentral.
GAUGAACGCUGGCGGCGUGCCUAAUACAUGCAAGUCGAACGCAUUGUGGUUGAAAUGAUAUGAAGAACUUGUUCAGAUUUGAUUUUCAACAUUGCAAUGAGUGGCGAACGGGUGAGUAACACGUGGGAAACCUACCUCUUAGCAGGGGAUAACAUUUGGAAACAAAUGCUAAUACCGUAUAAUAAUUAAAACCGCAUGGUUUUAGUUUAAAAGAUGGUCUUGCUAUCACUAAGAGAUGGUCCCGCGGUGUAUUAGUUAGUUGGUGAGGUAAUGGCUCACCAAGACAAUGAUACAUAGCCGAGUUGAGAGACUGACCGGCCACAAUGGGACUGAGACACGGCCCAUACUCCUACGGGAGGCAGCAGUAGGGAAUCUUCCACAAUGGACGAAAGUCUGAUGGAGCAACGCCGCGUGUGUGAUGAAGGUUUCGGCUCGUAAAACACUGUUGUAAGAGAAAGGAAUGACAUUGAGAGUAACUGUUCAAUGUGUGACGGUAUC